CAGGAUGAACGCUAGCUACAGGCUUAACACAUGCAAGUCGAGGGGCAGCAUGAACUUAGCUUGCUAAGUUUGAUGGCGACCGGCGCACGGGUGAGUAACACGUAUCCAACCUACCGUUUACUACGGGAUAGCCUUCUGAAAAGGAGAUUAAUACCGUAUGGUAUUCUAAAGUUUCAUGACAUUAGAAUUAAAGGUUUACCGGUAAUCGAUGGGGAUGCGUUCCAUUAGAUAGUAGGCGGGUAACGGCCCACCUAGUCAGCGAUGGAUAGGGGUUCUGAGAGGAAGGUCCCCCACAUUGGAACUGAGACACGGUCCAAACUCCUACGGGAGGCAGCAGUGAGGAAUAUUGGUCAAUGGGCGAGAGCCUGAACCAGCCAAAAGUAGCGUGAAGGAUGACUGCCCUAUGGGUUGUAAACUUCUUUUAUAAAGGAAUAAAGUGGUCCACGUGUGGAUUUUUGUAUGUACUUUAUGAAUAAGGAUCGGCUAACUCCGUGCCAGCCGCCGC
RNAcentral lists this ribosomal RNA (505 nucleotides) under uncultured bacterium. RNAcentral's name for it is "bacterial SSU rRNA". It matches the Rfam family "Bacterial small subunit ribosomal RNA", at positions 25 to 518 of the family's 1533-position model. The record is from RNAcentral.